Molecule: non-coding RNA, 349 nt
Organism: Vicia faba (fava bean)
Lineage: Eukaryota; Viridiplantae; Streptophyta; Magnoliopsida; Fabales; Fabaceae
Source: the annotation of a GenBank genome assembly
AAACGCAACGUUUAGUGCCUUGUAUGACUCUUCAGCUUCCACAAACUCAAAUCGAGCCCAAUCUCUUCCUUCUCAUCAUUUUCGAACCACAGACGUUGGGCGCCGCCGUGCCAUCGUCUCCGGCGGCGGAACAAGGAAACAAUACCACCAAUUCCUCCGUAAUAUCCCCCUCUCUCCAAGUCCCUUACCAAUUUCACACGAAACCUCUUCAAUCGUACGGAUCGAAGAAUCGAAGGGAGAAAAUCCUAAGUCCCCGAAAAUGCUAAUUCAAGUGAUAACUGCAAGAAUUCAUGAUAUUCGACGUGCACCGAGUGAUAUAUCGAAAAGGAGCAAGCACCGAAAGUAUUAA